Long non-coding RNA from Boleophthalmus pectinirostris (great blue-spotted mudskipper), 475 nucleotides. RefSeq lists it as uncharacterized. The transcript is spliced from 4 exons. The record is from RefSeq and is a predicted model, not a curated record. NCBI's taxonomy places the organism in Eukaryota, Metazoa, Chordata, Actinopteri, Gobiiformes, Gobiidae.
GAGCGUCGUCUUUAUCAUCUGUUGGAUUCGAGACAACAUACGGUGUAACCAUGAUGAAAGUCGCUCUUAUUCUGGGAUGCCUUUUGAGCCUGACUCUGGCUGUUCCUGUACAGGAAGAGCACCAGCGUGUGGCUCGCUCGGGGUCAUGGUCUAAUGAGGGAGGGUUAUUCUCCUCCUCCUCCUUCCUGAAUCCACUGCUUUUUCAGCUUCUUCUUAACCUGUUCACCACAACUACCACCACAACUACCACCGCAGUUCCGACCACCACCUAAUUGACACUGUACUGCAGUAUGCUUAUGACUUAGUGCAAAAUAAAAUCCCAUUGAUUCAGGAAAAUCCAGUGUAUGUUUCUUUCACUGUGUAAUUACUGGAAAAAUAUUAUUUAAUACAUGUUUACAGCAAGUUACUGUACAUCUAACGCGUGUUCAGCGCAUGUCAAUUUGGAAUUAAAUACAUUUUGAACUUAACUAACAAA